This 64-nucleotide transfer RNA is filed under the name Ictidomys tridecemlineatus (thirteen-lined ground squirrel). RNAcentral describes it as "Spermophilus tridecemlineatus (thirteen-lined ground squirrel) tRNA". It matches the Rfam family "tRNA". From Rfam's summary of the family: Transfer RNA (tRNA) molecules are approximately 80 nucleotides in length. Lineage: Eukaryota; Metazoa; Chordata; Mammalia; Rodentia; Sciuridae. The record is from Rfam by way of RNAcentral.
GAUGUAGCUCAGUGGUAGAGUUCUCACCUAGCAUGCAUGAGCCCUGGGUUCAAUCCCCAGCAUC